Molecule: ribosomal RNA, 280 nt
Filed under: uncultured Enterobacteriaceae bacterium
Lineage: Bacteria; Pseudomonadati; Pseudomonadota; Gammaproteobacteria; Enterobacterales; Enterobacteriaceae
Description: partial 16S ribosomal RNA
Rfam family: Bacterial small subunit ribosomal RNA
Source: RNAcentral
UACGGAGGGUGCAAGCGUUAAUUGGAAUUACUGGGCGUAAAGCGCACGCAGGCGGUUUGUUAAGUCAGAUGUGAAAUCCCCGGGCUCAACCUGGGAACUGCAUUUGAAACUGGCAAGCUUGAGUCUUGUAGAGGGGGGUAGAAUUCCAGGUGUAGCGGUGAAAUGCGUAGAGAUCUGGAGGAAUACCGGUGGCGAAGGCGGCCCCCUGGACAAAGACCUGACGCUCAGGUGCGAAAGCGUGGGGAGCAAACAGGAUUAGAUACCCGUGGUAAGUCACGCU